GAUGAACGCUGGCGGCGUGCUUAACACAUGCAAGUCGAACGGAAAGGCCCAAGCUUGCUUGGGUACUCGAGUGGCGAACGGGUGAGUAACACGUGGGUGAUCUGCCCUGCACUUCGGGAUAAGCCUGGGAAACUGGGUCCAAUACCGGAUAGGACCACUUCUUGGAUGUUGUGGUGGAAAGUUUUUUCGGUGUGGGAUGAGCUCGCGGCCUAUCAGCUUGUUGGUGGGGUAAUGGCCUACCAAGGCGUCGACGGGUAGCCGGCCUGAGAGGGUGUACGGCCACAUUGGGACUGGGAUACGGCCCAGACUCCUACGGGAGGCAGCAGUGGGGAAUAUUGCACAAUGGGCGCAAGCCUGAUGCAGCGACGCCGCGUGGGGGAUGACGGCCUUCGGGUUGUAAACUCCUUUCGCUAGGGACGAAGCGUUUUGUGACGGUACCUGGAGAAGAAGCACCGGCUAACUACGUG
This 467-nucleotide ribosomal RNA is filed under the name uncultured bacterium. RNAcentral's name for it is "partial 16S ribosomal RNA". It matches the Rfam family "Bacterial small subunit ribosomal RNA", at positions 28 to 507 of the family's 1533-position model. The record is from RNAcentral.